This 254-nucleotide ribosomal RNA is filed under the name uncultured bacterium. Its description in RNAcentral is "partial 16S ribosomal RNA". It matches the Rfam family "Bacterial small subunit ribosomal RNA", at positions 524 to 777 of the family's 1533-position model. The record is from RNAcentral.
UACGAAGGGGGCUAGCGUUGCUCGGAAUCACUGGGCGUAAAGGGUGCGUAGGCGGGUCUUUAAGUCAGGGGUGAAAUCCUGGAGCUCAACUCCAGAACUGCCUUUGAUACUGAGGAUCUUGAGUAUGGGAGAGGUGAGUGGAACUGCGAGUGUAGAGGUGAAAUUCGUAGAUAUUCGCAAGAACACCAGUGGCGAAGGCGGCUCACUGGCCCAUUACUGACGCUGAGGCACGAAAGCGUGGGGAGCAAACAGGG